RNAcentral lists this ribosomal RNA (253 nucleotides) under uncultured bacterium. Its description in RNAcentral is "partial 16S ribosomal RNA". It matches the Rfam family "Bacterial small subunit ribosomal RNA", at positions 524 to 776 of the family's 1533-position model. The record is from RNAcentral.
UACGGGGGGGGCAAGCGUUGUUCGGAAUUACUGGGCGUAAAGGGCGCGUAGGCGGCCUGCUAAGUCGGACGUGAAAUCCCCCGGCUCAACCGGGGAACUGCGUCCGAUACUGGUGGGCUCGAAUCCGGGAGAGGGAUGUGGAAUUCCAGGUGUAGCGGUGAAAUGCGUAGAUAUCUGGAGGAACACCGGUGGCGAAGGCGGCAUCCUGGACCGGUAUUGACGCUGAGGCGCGAAAGCUAGGGGAGCAAACAGG